Small nuclear RNA from Suncus etruscus (white-toothed pygmy shrew), 105 nucleotides. The record is from RefSeq and is a predicted model, not a curated record. Lineage: Eukaryota; Metazoa; Chordata; Mammalia; Eulipotyphla; Soricidae.
GUAAAUUCGUGAAGCUUUCCAUGUUUUUUAUUAGAACGAUACAGAGAAGAUUAGCAUUGCACCUGUGCAAGGAUGACACGCAGAAAGGUUAUAAUGUUUAUUUUC